Molecule: ribosomal RNA, 189 nt
Filed under: uncultured Staphylococcus sp.
Lineage: Bacteria; Bacillati; Bacillota; Bacilli; Caryophanales; Staphylococcaceae
Description: partial 16S ribosomal RNA
Rfam family: Bacterial small subunit ribosomal RNA
Source: RNAcentral
GGGAAACCGGAGCUAAUACCAGAUAACAUGUUGAACCGCAUGGUUCAACAGUGAAAGACGGUCUUGCUGUCACUUAUAGAUGGAUCCGCGCCGCAUUAGCUAGUUGGUAAGGUAACGGCUUACCAAGGCAACGAUGCGUAGCCGACCUGAGAGGGUGAUCGGCCACACUGGAACUGAGACACGGCCCAG